GAAGAGUCAAGUCGUGGCCAUGUGGGGCCUGAGGGGAAGGUGCAAGGCUGGCAAAAGGGAGCUCUGGAGGAGAGGGAGGAAGGGACGAGAGGCUGCAUCAGGCUGCAUCCACACUGGAGAAAUAACCAGUCAUUGUGCAGCAAGAAGAAAAAUCUUCCAAUGCCAACAGGACAGACAAGCAAGCAUCCAAGUUUUCCCUGCAAAUGGAAAACUUAGCUGUGACAAAUUUCUUUCCCUGUCCAUUCCUCUAUUAUAAUUGUCUCUGAGUAAGAACAUGCCCAAACAUGCCAGCCUUCUGGAGACUCCAAAAUUUACAACUGACAACACAUUCCAGUAAAACUUCCAGCAAACACCUGGAGGAUGCCAUCAAAACUGACAUACAGGUCAAAGUCAUCCCAAGCUUUUGCAUUUACUUCUCUGGAAACUGCCCAGCCUCAUUACCAUCACCUUGCUCCCAUUAGUAUCUUUGCUUGUAAAACAAACAUCCAUUGUCUUUAAGAAGAUAGUGUAAAGGUAAGACCAGUGUAAAACAUGGAUGGAAACUGUAUGGCCCUGUAGUUGUGCAAGGUGAAACUUCCAGCAGCCUUAGCCAGCAUAGACAAUGCUGAAUGUUCUACAACAUCUGAACUACCACACAAUUCCCAACCCUGUCUAAAACUAAGGCGUUUAUCAGACAGGGUGUCUGCAGCCCAGAUCUGGGACUUCUGCGGAUUGGGCAAUUCACGUUGACGUGUUAUCCAGAAUGUAUUUCCAUACCUUG
This is a long non-coding RNA of Sceloporus undulatus (fence lizard), 760 nucleotides long. RefSeq lists it as uncharacterized. The transcript has 3 exons. The record is from RefSeq and is a predicted model, not a curated record. NCBI's taxonomy places the organism in Eukaryota, Metazoa, Chordata, Lepidosauria, Squamata, Phrynosomatidae.